RNAcentral lists this transfer RNA (71 nucleotides) under Marmota monax (woodchuck). RNAcentral's name for it is "tRNA.Ala". It matches the Rfam family "tRNA". Rfam says of the family: Transfer RNA (tRNA) molecules are approximately 80 nucleotides in length. The record is from RNAcentral. Lineage: Eukaryota; Metazoa; Chordata; Mammalia; Rodentia; Sciuridae.
GGGGCUGUAUCUCAGUGGUAGAGUGCUUGCCUAGCAUGCAUGAGGCACUGGGUUCAAUCCUCAGCACCACA